Non-coding RNA from Vicugna pacos (alpaca), 987 nucleotides. Lineage: Eukaryota; Metazoa; Chordata; Mammalia; Artiodactyla; Camelidae. The record is from RefSeq and is a predicted model, not a curated record.
GAGGCUGAAGGGAACGGCCAUGACCUUGCUGAGCCAGCCAGACCAAUCCCACAGCGAGGCCAUGAAGACUCAGUGACCAGAGCAGGGAAGGGAGGGAGGCGAGCUGUUCUCUUGAAGGGCCAUCAGGCCCUUGGGCGCGUGGCGGCCACAGGAGGGCGCCAUUCAGCUCCCCUUUCAAGAGAGCCAUUCGAGGAGCGGGGUUGACAGACCGCCUCUGGAUCCCCCAGGCCUUCACGCUGAGCCCACACUAGACCCCGGCUGCUCCCAGGACAAAGAUGAGCACAGCGGGGGUCUCAGAGCCAGACCACCGCUGCCCAGCACGGUGCUCCUCCAAAGGACACCCCUUGCUUGGGUCACCAAACCCACCUGGCCAAGACUUUCUCAGAACCAACCGUGCUGUAAUCUGAGGUCCUCCUACCCAGCCCCUCGCUCCCUUCUCAGAGAGACAAUUGAUCUAGGCAACAAUCAUCAGUCGCAGCCAACGUUCAAAGAGAGAGACAACCACAGGCUAUGUGCCUCCUGACGGAAGAACAGAACACCACCCUAAUCGCACCAAAAGACAAACUGAAAACACAAGAAAACUUGAAUCUCAUCAAGCCUCUCGCUCUAACUUCCAAUGGGCAGAAAAUAUCCUCACACUGUAGAAAAUACACAGAACAAAGCAACACGUCCAACCACAGCUCCGGGAUGCAACCAGCAAAAUGCGGACUCUAGGAAACCAAACACAGAGAACAAAACACAAUUUCUCUAACAAAUGAUGUGUAAAGAGAAACAAAACAGAGAGAGGAAGAGAACUCACAGAUUAAAAGAAACUCGAGAGAUCCAUCAAGCAGUUGUGAUACAGGGAACUUGUUCAGAUCCUGACUGAAACAAACAAACUUGUAGGGGAAACAACUCAAAACAUGUAACAAUAAACAUUGAUGAGACAGCUGAAAAAAACUGAAUAUCAAUUGGAUAUUUUAUGAUAUUAAAGAAUUAUUGUUAAUA